This 345-nucleotide ribosomal RNA is filed under the name Triticum aestivum (bread wheat). Its description in RNAcentral is "partial small subunit ribosomal RNA". The record is from RNAcentral. Lineage: Eukaryota; Viridiplantae; Streptophyta; Magnoliopsida; Poales; Poaceae.
AUGAACGCUGGGUUGAAGAACUGCACCAGCCUUCAAAGCAUCAAUCUUGGGUCAAACUUGCUCACUGGAGAAAUCCCUUCAUGGCUCGGAGGCUUGUCAAGUCUCCGGACCAUAAUCUUGCAGAAGAGUAACUUCACAGGGAUUAUACCACCAUCACUUGCCAACCUCUCAGCACUAGAAAAAAUACAUUUAAGAUCAAACCAACUUGAGAGCUCCAUCCCCGAGGGCCUUGGCAGGCUCGGUAAACUCUUUUACAUUGACCUAGGAGAAAACCACCUGUCCGGCACUAUUCCUACAACUUUCUACAAUCUUUCUUCUCUGACCCGCUUCAGGGUGACAAAAUAA